This 463-nucleotide ribosomal RNA is filed under the name uncultured Bacillus sp. Its description in RNAcentral is "bacterial SSU rRNA". It matches the Rfam family "Bacterial small subunit ribosomal RNA", at positions 38 to 481 of the family's 1533-position model. Lineage: Bacteria; Bacillati; Bacillota; Bacilli; Caryophanales; Bacillaceae. The record is from RNAcentral.
GGCGGCGUGCCUAAUACAUGCAAGUCGAGCGAAUGGAUUGAGAGCUUGCUCUCAAGAAGUUAGCGGCGGACGGGUGAGUAACACGUGGGUAACCUGCCCAUAAGACUGGGAUAACUCCGGGAAACCGGGGCUAAUACCGGAUAACAUUUUGAACUGCAUGGUUCGAAAUUGAAAGGCGGCUUCGGCUGUCACUUAUGGAUGGACCCGCGUCGCAUUAGCUAGUUGGUGAGGUAACGGCUCACCAAGGCAACGAUGCGUAGCCGACCUGAGAGGGUGAUCGGCCACACUGGGACUGAGACACGGCCCAGACUCCUACGGGAGGCAGCAGUAGGGAAUCUUCCGCAAUGGACGAAAGUCUGACGGAGCAACGCCGCGUGAGUGAUGAAGGCUUUCGGGUCGUAAAACUCUGUUGUUAGGGAAGAACAAGUGCUAGUUGAAUAAGCUGGCGCCUUGACGGUACCUA